Molecule: ribosomal RNA, 798 nt
Filed under: uncultured Proteiniphilum sp.
Lineage: Bacteria; Pseudomonadati; Bacteroidota; Bacteroidia; Bacteroidales; Dysgonomonadaceae
Description: bacterial SSU rRNA
Rfam family: Bacterial small subunit ribosomal RNA
Source: RNAcentral
AGAGUUUGAUCCUGGCUCAGGAUGAACGCUAGCGAUAGGCCUAACACAUGCAAGUCGAGGGGCAGCACAUGAAGUAGCAAUACGGAUGGUGGCGACCGGCGCACGGGUGAGUAACGCGUAUGCAACCUGCCUACAACAGGGGAAUAACCCGUUGAAAGACGGACUAAUACCCCAUAACACAGGGAUCCCGCAUGGGAAUAUUUGUUAAAGAUUUAUCGGUUGUAGAUGGGCAUGCGUUCCAUUAGCUGGUUGGUGAGGUAACGGCUCACCAAGGCAACGAUGGAUAGGGGAACUGAGAGGUUUAUCCCCCACACUGGUACUGAGACACGGACCAGACUCCUACGGGAGGCAGCAGUGAGGAAUAUUGGUCAAUGGACGCAAGUCUGAACCAGCCACGUCGCGUGAAGGAAGACGGCCCUACGGGUUGUAAACUUCUUUUGUAAGGGAAUAAAGUGCAGUACGUGUACUGUUUUGCAUGUACCUUACGAAUAAGGAUCGGCUAACUCCGUGCCAGCAGCCGCGGUAAUACGGAGGAUCCGGGCGUUAUCCGGAUUUAUUGGGUUUAAAGGGUGCGCAGGCGGGAGAUUAAGUCGGCGGUGAAAUUUUGCAGCUCAACUGUAAAAGUGCCUUCGAAACUGGUUUUCUUGAGUGUGGAUGAAGUAGGCGGAAUUUGUGGUGUAGCGGUGAAAUGCAUAGAUAUCACGAGGAACUCCGAUUGCGCAGGCAGCUUACUAAACCAUAACUGACGCUCAGGCACGAAGGCGUGGGGAUCAAACAGGAUUAGAUACCCUGGUAGUC